CCCGACUCCAGCAAGGAAGCGCUUGAGAAUAUAAUAUACAGUGAAGCAUGUCGAACGUCAGCAAGCCUGAACAAAGUGUCAGGAAAAAGAGUCACGCUGCGAAGAAACACCACACAGAAGCUUUUCCCUCAGUACAAUGACAACUGAGGGUCUUCAGAGCAGCGUGAACGGCCGUCACCUGAGAGCAAGACAGUCCUCGGGCCUUCCCUCCAGACUGGCCACCUGUCCAGGUUGUACCCCCGCCUCUGGCCCCAUAACAUGGCUCCAACCUUGAAUUGGUUAAGCAGAAGGGAUGGAUGGAUGGAUGGAUGAUCCAAAGAGAAACAUUGAAGGCACUCUCACAAAAAAAAGAUAAGAACUCAUUUUACACAUUGUUGAAACAUCCUGAAAGUUACUUGUUCUGUUUAGAAACUUGUUGAACUGUCAUUAGAGUUUGUUUCGACUUGUUUUUCAUUUCUUAUUCGGUUCAGCUGUGUUUCUAUGUGUCCUUAGUUCCCAUAAUCAGCCUCCUGUGUGUAAAUAUUGUGUCAGUCUCCCUUUGUCCCUUGUCAGAGUGUUAGUCUCCAUCCCCUCGUGUUUCCUUGCCUCAGUAGCUCUGUUUCCUAUAGUUUUCCACCAGUAUAGGUUUUGG
This is a long non-coding RNA of Oreochromis aureus, 631 nucleotides long. RefSeq lists it as uncharacterized. The transcript has 4 exons. The record is from RefSeq and is a predicted model, not a curated record. NCBI's taxonomy places the organism in Eukaryota, Metazoa, Chordata, Actinopteri, Cichliformes, Cichlidae.